Molecule: transfer RNA, 75 nt
Filed under: marine sediment metagenome
Description: tRNA-Phe
Rfam family: tRNA
About the family: Transfer RNA (tRNA) molecules are approximately 80 nucleotides in length. Their secondary structure includes four short double-helical elements and three loops (D, anti-codon, and T loops).
Source: RNAcentral
GGGUCGGUAGCUCAGUUGGUAGAGCGGCGGGGUGAAGUCCCGUGCGCAGCGGUUCGAUUCCGUUCCGACUCACCA